RNAcentral lists this long non-coding RNA (342 nucleotides) under Gossypium raimondii (Peruvian cotton). RNAcentral describes it as "long non-coding RNA (GRAI_LNC000423)". The record is from RNAcentral. Lineage: Eukaryota; Viridiplantae; Streptophyta; Magnoliopsida; Malvales; Malvaceae.
UUUUAUCACAAAUAUACAAACAACCUCCCCACACUUAAGAUGUACAUUGUCCUCAAUGUAUAAACAGAUAUAAGCACAAAAUAAACACAAUAUCAAAAGAGAGGGAGAUAACUAAAACUGCCCUAAAUUUGGAUGAAAUUGCUAGAAGAGUGAAAACUAGGAUCGUGAGCAAAUAUAAAUGACGUGUAUGUUUCCGACCAAACUAAUAAGAAGAUAAAGAAAAAUAAAUAAGAAGACAAAGAAAUUAUAAACUCGAAUAAAAAACUAUUAAAAUAAUAAAAACAACAACAUAGUUCAAAAGAAAAAUAAAAAUAAAAAAAGUCUUACAAAUCAAAAUAAAAC